ACACACAUAAUCGUAUUUAACGACCUCAAUAAUGACAGCAAUGUUUGAACCCACAACUCACACUCGACAACAGACAACAAACACCCAAGCGACGCGAAAACCCGCUACAAUUAGAAAGUAGCUCCAGUGUCACAAAUGACCAUAAAGCUGGCUGGACACACUGACAAGUAUCAACAAAACCUCAACGUUUAUCAGAUCGGCCAGCUUCUCACACCUUGUGGACAAGGAUAGGAAGAGAGAUUCCACCGUAGGGCAAAAAAGGACCAGGCUAGGCUGACAGAAACCCCAGUUCAACAGCCUCCAAAAUGACCACACAGCUGAAUCGACACCCUGUGAAACGAUUCAGAGAAAAUUCAUGCACUUGCUUGAGGAAGGCUGUACCAGGACUGGAGGACAUCAAGCCCCCCCUCAUGGGGACCUCCAUUGCCAGCCAGCUGCUGCCUCCUC
Molecule: long non-coding RNA, 447 nt
Organism: Monopterus albus (swamp eel)
Lineage: Eukaryota; Metazoa; Chordata; Actinopteri; Synbranchiformes; Synbranchidae
Exons: 5
Source: RefSeq, a predicted model, not a curated record